RNAcentral lists this ribosomal RNA (481 nucleotides) under uncultured bacterium. Its description in RNAcentral is "partial 16S ribosomal RNA". It matches the Rfam family "Bacterial small subunit ribosomal RNA", at positions 28 to 507 of the family's 1533-position model. The record is from RNAcentral.
GAUGAACGCUGGCGGCGUGCUUAACACAUGCAAGUCGAACGAAGCAUUUGCGACAGAUUUUUUCGGAAUGAAGUUGCUUAUGACUGAGUGGCGGACGGGUGAGUAACGCGUGGGUAACCUGCCUUGUACUGGGGGAUAGCAGCUGGACACGGCUGGUAAUACCGCAUAAGCGCACAAUGUUGCAUGACAUGGUGUGAAAAACUCCGGUGGUAUAAGAUGGACCCGCGUCUGAUUAGCUAGUUGGUGAGAUAACAGCCCACGAAGGCGUCGAUCAGUAGCCGAGCAGUGAGGGUGACCCGCCACAUUGGGACUGAGCCACGGCCCGGAAUCCUACGGGAGGCAGGAGUGGGUAAUAUUGCAAAAUGGAGUGAACUCUGAUGCAGCGACGCCGCGUGAGUGAAGAAGUAAUGCGUUAAGUAAAGCUCUAUCAGCAGGGAAGAUAGUGACGGUACCUGACUAAGAAGCUCCGGCUAAAUACGUG